RNAcentral lists this ribosomal RNA (253 nucleotides) under uncultured bacterium. RNAcentral's name for it is "partial 16S ribosomal RNA". It matches the Rfam family "Bacterial small subunit ribosomal RNA", at positions 524 to 776 of the family's 1533-position model. The record is from RNAcentral.
UACGUAGGGUGCAAGCGUUGUCCGGAAUUAUUGGGCGUAAAGAGCUUGUAGGCGGUUUGUCGCGUCUGCUGUGAAAUUCCAGGGCUUAACCCUGGGCUUGCAGUGGGUACGGGCAGACUAGAGUGUGGUAGGGGAGACUGGAAUUCCUGGUGUAGCGGUGAAAUGCGCAGAUAUCAGGAGGAACACCGAUGGCGAAGGCAGGUCUCUGGGCCACUACUGACGCUGAGAAGCGAAAGCAUGGGGAGCGAACAGG